GAUGAACGCUGGCGGCGUGCCUAAUACAUGCAAGUCGAGCGAACGGACGAGAAGCUUGCUUCUCUGAUGUUAGCGGCGGACGGGUGAGUAACACGUGGAUAACCUACCUAUAAGACUGGGAUAACUUCGGGAAACCGGAGCUAAUACCGGAUAAUAUUUUGAACCGCAUGGUUCAAAAGUGAAAGACGGUCUUGCUGUCACUUAUAGAUGGAUCCGCGCUGCAUUAGCUAGUUGGUAAGGUAACGGCUUACCAAGGUAACGAUGCAUAGCCGACCUGAGAGGGUGGUCGGCCACACUGGCACUACGACACGGUCCAGGCUCCGACGGGAGGCAGCAGUAGGGAAUCUUCCGCAAUGGGCGACAGCCUGAAGGAGGAACUCCGCGUGAGUGAUGAAGGUCUUCGGAUCGUAAAACUCUGUUAUUAGGGAAGAACAUAUGUGUAAGUCACUGUGCACAUCUUGACGGUACCUAAUCAGAAAGCCACGGCUAACUACGUG
Molecule: ribosomal RNA, 497 nt
Filed under: uncultured bacterium
Lineage: Bacteria
Description: partial 16S ribosomal RNA
Rfam family: Bacterial small subunit ribosomal RNA
Source: RNAcentral